This 390-nucleotide ribosomal RNA is filed under the name Triticum aestivum (bread wheat). Its description in RNAcentral is "partial small subunit ribosomal RNA". The record is from RNAcentral. Lineage: Eukaryota; Viridiplantae; Streptophyta; Magnoliopsida; Poales; Poaceae.
AUUGCGGGGUGUGAUUACAGAUGGACUUGGAAGGCCAAAAUUCCCUUGAAGAUCCAAAUAUUUUUAUGGCAAUUAUUCCAGGAUGCUAUCUUGACUAGAUGUGUAAUGAAGCAUUGGGGAUGGAAAGGAAAUCCCAAGUGCUUGUUUUAUGGGGAACGAGAAACCUCGCAACAUCUAUUUUUCACAUGCCCGGUAGCUAGGGUGACUUGGAGAACGGUUGCAUGCAUGUUUGUCAUUGAACUAUGUCCUGAUAAUAUUUGGCAAGCUUAUGUGUGGUGUUUCACUUUCUUCCCUGGUGGAGAAGUAUUUUACAGAGAUGGAUCUGAACAUAUAAUAUUCCACCAAAUAAACCAACUAGCAUCAACUAGAAUAUGUAAUCAACACUACUAG